RNAcentral lists this ribosomal RNA (497 nucleotides) under uncultured bacterium. RNAcentral's name for it is "partial 16S ribosomal RNA". It matches the Rfam family "Bacterial small subunit ribosomal RNA", at positions 28 to 507 of the family's 1533-position model. The record is from RNAcentral.
GAUGAACGCUGGCGGCGUGCCUAAUACAUGCAAGUCGAGCGAACGGACGAGAAGCUUGCUUUUCUGAUGUUAGCGGCGGACGGGUGAGUAACACGUGGAUAACCUACCUAUAAGACUGGGAUAACUUCGGGAAACCGGAGCUAAUACCGGAUAAUAUUUUGAACCGCAUGGUUCAAAAGUGAAAGACGGUCUUGCUGUCACUUAUAGAUGGAUCCGCGCUGCAUUAGCUAGUUGGUAAGGUAACGGCUUACCAAGGCAACGAUGCAUAGCCGACCUGAGAGGGUGAUCGGCCACACUGGAACUGAGACACGGUCCAGACUCCUACGGGAGGCAGCAGUAGGGAAUCUUCCGCAAUGGGCGAAAGCCUGACGGAGCAACGCCGCGUGAGUGAUGAAGGUCUUCGGAUCGUAAAACUCUGUUAUUAGGGAAGAACAUAUGUGUAAGUAACUGUGCACAUCUUGACGGUACCUAAUAAGAAAGCCACGGCUAACUACGUG